UACGAGUUUAUCCUGGCUCAGAGUGAACGCUGGCGGCGUGCUUAACACAUGCAAGUCGAACGGUAACAGGAACUAGCUUGCUAGUUUGCUGACGAGUGGCGCACGGGUGAGUAAUAUAUAGUUAAUGUACCCCAAAGACUGGGAUAGCCACUGGAAACGGUGAUUAAUACUAGAUACACCUCUUUAAUAUAAGUUAGAGAGGGAAAUGUCUUUUCGCUUUGGGAUCAGACUAUAUCCUAUCAGUUAGUUGGUGAGGUAAUGGCUCACCAAGGCAAUGACGGGUAGCGGUUCUGAGAGGAUGAUCCGCCACACUGGUACUGAGACACGGACCAGACUCCUACGGGAGGCAGCAGUGAGGAAUAUUGCACAAUGGGGGGAACCCUGAUGCAGCAACGCCGCGUGGAGGAUGACGCAUUUCGGUGUGUAAACUCCUUUUAUAUGUCAAGAAAAUGACGGUAGCAUAUGAAUAAGCACCGGCUAACUCCGUG
RNAcentral lists this ribosomal RNA (488 nucleotides) under uncultured bacterium. RNAcentral describes it as "bacterial SSU rRNA". It matches the Rfam family "Bacterial small subunit ribosomal RNA", at positions 1 to 507 of the family's 1533-position model. The record is from RNAcentral.